Molecule: long non-coding RNA, 477 nt
Organism: Dendronephthya gigantea
Lineage: Eukaryota; Metazoa; Cnidaria; Anthozoa; Malacalcyonacea; Nephtheidae
Exons: 3
Source: RefSeq, a predicted model, not a curated record
UCUAAAAUUCCGUCAGACAGAUUCAGAUUUUAUUCCGUCACACAGAUUCAAGAUGUUAACUGGUCGCCUUUAAUGGUUCGGCAGUAAAGCGAAAUACGCAAAGGUUCAUUUGUGCGCUGUUUGUGUCCGCUACAGUCAAUUUAAUAUGUAUGAAUGCGUAUGGUUCGCGUGUAUAAUACGAAUGUGUCUGUGGUUCGCUGUUCUUGCUAAUAGUAGUACCGUCGCAGUUCCAAAGAAAUUCAGCAUUGACCUUCGGGAAUGGAAAAGCGAAUGUAAUUGCUCGUGUUCAACUGAAAUAUCAAAUUGUACAAUAAACGAAGCCUAUUCCAUGAGGGGCAAUCUUUGGAGGAAGCGAAACUAUCCGCCAGAGUUGCUGCCAAAAUCAUCGCGGUUUUUAUCAUGUGAACCAAACCCAGACAAAUUUCGAUACUUCUUAUUCAACCUCAGCUGCAAAGGAGAACGUGCGUACGUUAUAUA